This 278-nucleotide ribosomal RNA is filed under the name uncultured Loktanella sp. RNAcentral's name for it is "partial 16S ribosomal RNA". It matches the Rfam family "Bacterial small subunit ribosomal RNA", at positions 29 to 334 of the family's 1533-position model. The record is from RNAcentral. Lineage: Bacteria; Pseudomonadati; Pseudomonadota; Alphaproteobacteria; Rhodobacterales; Roseobacteraceae.
AACGAACGCUGGCGGCAGGCUUUAUACAUGCAAGUCGAGCGCUCUCUUCGGAGGGAGCGGCGGACGGGUGAGUAACGCGUGGGAAUAUACCCUUCACUAUGGAAUAGCCUCGGGAAACUGAGAGUAAUACCAUAUACGCCCUUCGGGGGAAAGAUUUAUCGGUGAAGGAUUAGCCCGCGUUAGAUUAGAUAGUUGGUGGGGUAAUGGCCUACCAAGUCUACGAUCUAUAGCUGGUUUGAGAGGAUGAUCAGCCACACUGGGACUGAGACACGGCCCAG